This 358-nucleotide unclassified non-coding RNA is filed under the name soil metagenome. RNAcentral's name for it is "partial contains 5.8S ribosomal RNA, internal transcribed spacer 2, and large subunit ribosomal RNA". The stretch from base 1 to 120 matches the Rfam family "5.8S ribosomal RNA", at positions 35 to 154 of the family's 154-position model. The record is from RNAcentral.
GAUGAAGAACGCAGCGAAAUGCGAUAAGUAAUGUGAAUUGCAGAAUUCAGUGAAUCAUCGAAUCUCUGAACGCACAUUGCGCCCGUCAGUAUUCUGGCGGGCAUGCCUGUUCGAGCGUCAUUACGCCCCUCAAGUCCCCUGUGGACUUGGUGUUGGGGAUCGGCGAGGCUGGUUUUCCAGCACAGCCGUCCCUUAAAUUAAUUGGCGGUCUCGCCGUGGCCCUCCUCUGCGCAGUAGUAAAACACUCGCAACAGGAGCCCGGCGCGGUCCACUGCCGUAAAACCCCCCAACUUUUUAUAGUUGACCUCGAAUCAGGUAGGACUACCCGCUGAACUUAAGCAUAUCAAUAAGCGGAGGA